RNAcentral lists this ribosomal RNA (490 nucleotides) under uncultured Bacillota bacterium. Its description in RNAcentral is "bacterial SSU rRNA". It matches the Rfam family "Bacterial small subunit ribosomal RNA", at positions 355 to 836 of the family's 1533-position model. The record is from RNAcentral. Lineage: Bacteria; Bacillati; Bacillota.
UAGGGAAUCUUCGGCAAUGGGCGAAAGCCUGACCGAGCAACGCCGCGUGAGCGAUGAAGGCCUUCGGGUCGUAAAGCUCUGUUGUUAAGGAAGAACAAGUACGAGAGUAACUGCUCGUACCUUGACGGUACUUAACGAGAAAGCCACGGCUAACUACGUGCCAGCAGCCGCGGUAAUACGUAGGUGGCGAGCGUUAUCCGGAAUUAUUGGGCGUAAAGCGCGCGCAGGCGGCUUCUUAAGUCUGAUGUGAAAGCCCACGGCUCAACCGUGGAGGGUCAUUGGAAACUGGGAAACUUGAGUGCAGAAGAGGAAAGCGGAAUUCCACGUGUAGCGGUGAAAUGCGUAGAGAUGUGGAGGAACACCAGUGGCGAAGGCGGCUUUCUGGUCUGUAACUGACGCUGAGGCGCGAAAGCGUGGGGAGCAAACAGGAUUAGGAUACCCUGGUAGUCCACGCCGUAAACGAUGAGUGCUAAGUGUUAGAGGGUUUCCG